Corythoichthys intestinalis (scribbled pipefish) is the source of this 960-nucleotide long non-coding RNA. RefSeq lists it as uncharacterized. The transcript has 4 exons. NCBI's taxonomy places the organism in Eukaryota, Metazoa, Chordata, Actinopteri, Syngnathiformes, Syngnathidae. The record is from RefSeq and is a predicted model, not a curated record.
UAUCUCGAUACAGCGAUAUAUCGCGAUAUUUUGCAACCCGAUGGGUUAUCGAUAUGCUCCCGCCAAGUAUCGAUACUUUUAUUUAACAUAUUGGCCAUACAAUGGAGUAUGGAUGCUGUAAACUGCUCAAUGUUUGUUGAGCAAUUCCUUGGCGGUCCACUAGGGGCGCUCGGGAGUGGCUGUGAGGGUAAAGUGCGCACAAGUUGUCUAGAGAAGAAGAGAGGCAGCUCCAAGGGGGUUGAAAAAAUAAAAAAGCCCCAUGAGAAGGGGGAGGAAAAAAUUAGAAAAAUAUUGCUACAAAUCACACAUGGGGACACAUUUUAGAUUUUACACCAACAAGAAAGGAAGUAAGGUGAACAAGGACUUUGCUGUAUGCAAGAAUUGUCUAAGAAAAAUAAGUUUCACUGGGAGCUGGUGACGUAGUGGAGACCGGAGUUUGUGAGCUUCGCUUUCAUCACUUGAGGUGAGGAAGACUGACUGAGCAAGUCUGACAUCUUAAAUGCUGAAGCAGAUGGCGGAAGUCCUCAAACCAAGCAACAAAGGAUGAAAUACAUCUGGCUACAUACAACUGUGGUGACACACAAACAUGUACUAUACCUCCCUGCCUCAAUUGUACCGCUAAACACCAGAGCAUCAGAUGAACCACCAUAUGAUCACCAAGCCUCCUUAAUAGGCUCAAGAUGCUGCACCAAAGAAAACAAGGGAAUGACUAAAUAAUUCAUAACCAACUCCACGGCACUGAAAGAUGGACUGAGAUGGCUUGUACACAGCUUUUACUGAUGUAGCAGAAGUGUUCCACUGCAAUGCAUUUGCUUCCCUCAUUUAUUGUUGUAAAAAUAAAAGAAAAGUAAGUUAUGUCUACCGCCCUGUCAUAUGAGAUGCUUGGAAAGGGUUUUAUUAUGCUGACAGUUUCACUUGGGAACAGAUUAUUGUUCAAUGUUCAUUAAAGUUGUUCUGUAC